This 465-nucleotide ribosomal RNA is filed under the name Vreelandella stevensii. Its description in RNAcentral is "partial 16S ribosomal RNA". It matches the Rfam family "Bacterial small subunit ribosomal RNA", at positions 338 to 795 of the family's 1533-position model. Lineage: Bacteria; Pseudomonadati; Pseudomonadota; Gammaproteobacteria; Oceanospirillales; Halomonadaceae. The record is from RNAcentral.
CCUACGGGUGGCAGCAGUGGGGAAUAUUGGACAAUGGGGGCAACCCUGAUCCAGCCAUGCCGCGUGUGUGAAGAAGGCCCUCGGGUUGUAAAGCACUUUCAGUGAGGAAGAACGCCUGGUGGUUAAUACCCAUCAGGAAAGACAUCACUCACAGAAGAAGCACCGGCUAACUCCGUGCCAGCAGCCGCGGUAAUACGGAGGGUGCGAGCGUUAAUCGGAAUUACUGGGCGUAAAGCGCGCGUAGGUGGCUUGAUAAGCCGGUUGUGAAAGCCCCGGGCUCAACCUGGGAACGGCAUCCGGAACUGGCAAGCUAGAGUGCAGGAGAGGAAGGUAGAAUUCCCGGUGUAGCGGUGAAAUGCGUAGAGAUCGGGAGGAAUACCAGUGGCGAAGGCGGCCUUCUGGACUGACACUGACACUGAGGUGCGAAAGCGUGGAUAGCAAACAGGAUUAGAUACCCCAGUAGUC